This 71-nucleotide transfer RNA is filed under the name Bos taurus (domestic cattle). It matches the Rfam family "tRNA". From Rfam's summary of the family: Transfer RNA (tRNA) molecules are approximately 80 nucleotides in length. Lineage: Eukaryota; Metazoa; Chordata; Mammalia; Artiodactyla; Bovidae. RNAcentral also lists the same sequence under 6 other names. The record is from Rfam by way of RNAcentral.
UCCUGGGUGGCUCAGACAGUAAAGAAUCUGCCUGCAAUGCAGGAGACCUGGGUUCGAUCCCUGGUCAGGAA